GCCUAACACAUGCAAGUCGAACGAAGCCUUCGGGCUUAGUGGCGCACGGGUGCGUAACGCGUGGGAAUCUGCCCCUUGCUUCGGAAUAACAGUUAGAAAUGACUGCUAAUACCGGAUGAUGUCUUCGGACCAAAGAUUUAUCGGCAAGGGAUGAGCCCGCGUAGGAUUAGGUAGUUGGUGGGGUAAAGGCCUACCAAGCCGACGAUCCUUAGCUGGUCUGAGAGGAUGAUCAGCCACACUGGGACUGAGACACGGCCCAGACUCCUACGGGAGGCAGCAGUGGGGAAUAUUGGACAAUGGACGCAAGUCUGAUCCAGCAAUGCCGCGUGAGUGAUGAAGGCCUUAGGGUUGUAAAGCUCUUUUACUAGGGAUGAUAAUGACAGUACCUGGAGAAUAAGCUCCGGCUAACUCCGUGCCAGCAGCCGCGGUAAUAUGGAGGGAGCUAGCGUUGUUCGGAAUUACUGGUCGUAAAGCGCACGUAGGCGGUUACUCAAGUCAGAGGUGAAAGCCCGGUGCUCAACCCCGGAACUGCCUUUGAAACUAGGUAACUAGAAUCCUGCAGAAGCGCGUGCAUUUCCCAGUGUC
Molecule: ribosomal RNA, 585 nt
Filed under: uncultured bacterium
Lineage: Bacteria
Description: bacterial SSU rRNA
Rfam family: Bacterial small subunit ribosomal RNA
Source: RNAcentral